CCUCUUUUAGAUCAUUUUUUAAAAGAUAUUUCUGAUUGGAAAAUUGGAUAAAAUUUUAUCCCAUGUAAUAAAAAAGCCGAUAAAUUAUUAUUAUGCAUGACUAUAUUAUUGGCUAAAUGCUGAGAAGUGUUCAUGAUUCUAAUUAAUCUCCUUAACUAUUCACUGGUGUAAUUAAGUUGACCAUAAAUCCGAAUUGUUGAACACCUAUCCCGUACCCCAAUUACACGUUCUUAGUCUCUUUUCUCUCCCGUCCUAGGAGUUUUUCACGUCAUUUUAUCAUGAGAGGGACAUUAUAUGAAGACUUUGAACUUGAAGUUUGAACAAGUAGAACUGAGAUGUGACUUAACUCUACAAGUAAGAAAAAGAAAAAAAAAGUUAUAUGUAUACCCAAAAAUCCUACUCAACACCUAGUAGUGAGGUAAAGGGAAAUAUAGGUAAAAUAAGAUUUAUCUUGUGAUUAAUUGAAAGAAAAAAUAAAAAGUAUUAAUGUGAUAUUUAAAAUAAUGAGAUAUUUAUGUAUCAAGAGUUUAUUAUUCUCGUUAUAGAUAAAAUCUUGCCAAACAUGUUAUAAACAUUGUUCAUAUAUUCUUCCCCUUAUAAUUUUAAAAAUAAUAAUUAUAUGUCAUAUUAAGAAUUUCACCCAGAAAAUUCACAACUUGGCAUGCACGACAACCAUUUUGCUCCGCAUGAGUAUUCUCUGUAGAACGUUGGUUUGGCCAAGAAUACGUGCAGAACGUAUUGAACGCAUGGAAAAAGUCACAAUGUUCAUUUGCUCCACACAAAUAGACAAAAUAGGCAAUUCCAUACUGCUCUAGUUUCUUUCUGAAGAAGAGUCAAGAAGCUGGUUCAGUGGUGUAGUUUGUUUCUUCUCGUGCAGAUUUUCAAUACUCAUUAUCAUGCCUGCUUGGAUAUUUGUUGAAUGAGAAAAUUUGCAGGUUGUGGCUUAGCUUAUGUCGUAACCACUGUCAAUUUGGAAGAUACUGUACGUGUGUAUUUUGGUUCAAUUCAAAUUUAAUAAAAUUCACAUGAUCUUUUAGCUUCUUUCUUUUUUUAUAAAUAUUUUAACAAAAGUCACAUAAAUUCACUCAAUAAUAAAGUUAACAGUGGAUGAAUACGUCAUCACCAAAUAAUACAUAACAAAUAGUAAAUUAAAAAUAGACCCUAAAAUGACAUAAUAAAGAGUAACACACGUUGAUUAUCCUCCAACUUUACCCUAAAUCCAAACUUUUGACAUGAUGAGAAUCUAAUUUCAGACAUCAAAACCCUGAAGAGAAGAAUUUGUUUCGGUGCAAAUUAACAUUUCUGUAUAAUAUGAAACAUUAAGUUUAUUAAAAUCUUUCUGAGCAAAGUUGAACCGUUAUUAUCAAAAGAGAUAACAGAUUUCCUGUAACUUUGUAUCUUCCUCAACUUCUUGCAUUAGGGUUAACUAUUUCAAGAGAGAAAGAAAUUAGUUGCAGCUAACAGUGCAAUGAAUCCAUCAUAUAUAGAAGAUGUUGAUGAUAAAACAAAGUGAGCAAACAUGUCUUUUUCUUCGCUUGUACCUUUUACCUUGCCUUUCCUAAUUCUGUUUCCUCUGUUUUUUAUCCAAGUCAAAUACAUGAUAAUAGAAGCGGAGAUCCUAAAUAAUCAGUUAGUUAUUGAAUUAGAAUUAAUAGUUGAAGAACCCCACAAACAAAGUUUCCUUUUUCAGUUUACAAACCGUGUGAGAACGUUUUUUUUGUCCUUACCUUUCCCACCCUAUAAAGUUGUUCUUUUCUUUCAUCCUUAUUUCAUUGGCUUCGUUUUCAUAUAACUGGAACAUUCUUUUUUAUUUUCAUUUUAAUUUUUUUCUAGUUCUAUAAUUAACUGAGGAGUUGAGAGAAGCAAUCUUUGGCUUUUUUGAGUUCUCUCUUGGACUACAUAAUCGGGACAUAGCUUUUUCCCAUGAUGGAUUCUGCAUAUUUUUCCUUUCUGGGGGCUUUUGAAGCCUGCAUUAAUUCUUAAUGGGACUUGUUUUUUACCAAAUGGGCAUGUGCAUUCUUACUCUGCUGCUAUCUCAUCUAUUCUGGGGUAUAUUCAGGAUGAAAUACUGGUAAGACAAAUGUUCCCAGGCUUGGUGGUGAUAGCUACUUUGGAAGAAAUUGGAAUUGUAGACAUUAUUCUAGAUUGACUGAAGAAUUCUUUCAGGUUCUUGAAUCUCGAUCAGUUCUAAUACAGCUAUAGCUGUAUGCUAGUAGCUGUAAUUCUUAGUUGGCAUCUCUUUUCUUCUAACUUUAUCUUGGAGGGUGAGAGUUACUUCCUUUUUCAUGUGUAAUUGAAUGAAUAUGGUAGGCACCAAUAGUUAAGCAGGACUUCAAACAUAACAACGGAAUUUUAAGAAUUGGUUUUGCUGGAGUGAUACGUGGAACUUGAAGCUUUAUUGUAUGAAUAUGGUAAUCAGAAUUUCAAUUUUGUACCUCCGAAGGCCAAUUUCUUACAUGUGGUGGUGGAGGCUGCACUGUCUCUGCAACAACGAAAUCUCCUUCAUCAUCAGAGACAUGGAAUUGAGCGGGACGGAAAAAAUAGGAUUCACCUCAAGAUAAAGGGUGGGGCAUAUCUUCAGGUAUUAAUUCUUCUGAUUUCUACAAAAUUAGAAGUCAUUUGGUUGCAUGUAAAAAAUAUAAUGUUGUGUUUCCACAAGAUUCUUUUGUCAUCAUGUUGUACAGAGGAAUUGAUGAAGAGCACCAGACUCUACCAAGGAGAAUCACUCAGAGCCCAACUUACCUGAAGGACUAUGAGAGCCAUUAAGUUGUUAUGACUCCGAAAGAAAUGGCCCGCAAACGGGAACAAGGUCUAUGCUAUAACUAUGCUAAGCAAAGGCCAAAUGUGUCAUACAUAGUGUUCACAGUAGUUUGUUAUAUAGGGCGCUUGGGGGAUCAUUCAUUUGAUGUUGCACUGAAGAAUAGUUAUAAGUCUCCACAUAUUUUUCUGUAACUUCCUUUCAUCCAACUUAUAUAUAUUUCGUUUUUGCAAAUCUUUUGAAUCCGUGAAAGCCAUCACAUACAUAAUAAUAUUUACAAAAUAAAAUAACAGAUUGUGUUCCCUAUUGAUUGUUGUAACUGCAGAGACAUAGAAAUAGCUUUAUCACCAUAGAGGAUUUCAAAUUUCUAUAUAAACAUGGAAUAAAUACUGUGAGGAUACCAGUUGGGUGGUGGAUUGCUUAUGAUCCUGAUCCUCCGAGUCCAUUUAUUGGAGGAAGUCUUGAAGCUCUAGAUAAUGCAUUUUCAUGGGCACAGGAAUAUGAUAUUAAAUGCAUAAUUGACCUUCAUGCUGCUCCUGCUUCCCAAAAUGGGAUGGAGCAUAGUGCAAGCAGAGAUGGAUUUACGGGUUGGCCAACUUCUCCUGAUUAUAUUUCCGACUCAUUACAUGCUAUUGAUUUUUUAGUUUCUAGAUAUGCAAAAAAUCCUGCUUUGCUGGGAAUUGAGCUAUUGAAUGAACCAUCUGCUGCCACAGUUUCAUUAGAUGUUUUAAUUUCAUAUUACAAGCAGGGCUACCAAAUUGUUCGAAAAUAUUCAUCAUCAGCUUAUGUGAUAAUCUGCCAGAGAAUUGGUGUUGCAGAUCCUAUGGAACUUUAUCAAGCCAACAUAGGAUCUCACAACUUAGUUUUGGAUUUGCAUUUCUACAAUCUCUUUGACACAUUUUUCGAUAAUAUGAGUGCUAUGGAUAAUAUUCAAUACAUAUACAAAAGUCGGGUAGGUCAACUGCAAGCCUUAAACAAUUCAAAUGGCCCACUUGUUUUAGUUGGAGAGUGGGUGAACGAGUGGAAUGUGACAAACGGAUCCCUAAAAGAUUAAGACUUUGGAAAGGCACAGCUAGACGUUUGCAGCUUCCUUUGGAUGGUGUUAUUGGACAUUAAAAAAUGAAGAGAAGCACUGGGAUUUUGAAUGGAGCAUAAGGAACAACUAUCUUCAAUUAGGCAAAUAGUAUACAUUUUUGGUGGCACACUGGCACUGCCUCUAUUGCAUUGCAUGUACAUUUGUGAUAUUUAAAUUAUCUUGAGGCACCUAUGUAUUUUUGCAGGUAACUCACCCAGCAAAUGGAGCUUGAACAUUCUAGGAUGGUUAGGAUUGACAUGCACCUGGUUUUGUCUACUUUCGUUAUUGUGACAGCUUUUACCAGGACUGGAAGCAUAUUUUAUGCAGCUGUUUCUUGAUUUUAUUUAUUUAUUUUGUCAUCUUGUUAGCAAUUGCAGAAUGCAAUAAUGUGAAAUAUACAGAAUUUCUGCACGAUGCCUAUUCCAUAAUUUUCAUAGCUGCAUUUCAUGCAAAUAAAGCUGAGAAGUCUGAUAUUCAA
Molecule: RNA transcript, 4311 nt
Organism: Glycine soja
Lineage: Eukaryota; Viridiplantae; Streptophyta; Magnoliopsida; Fabales; Fabaceae
Gene name: RING-H2 finger protein ATL51-like
Exons: 5
Source: RefSeq, a predicted model, not a curated record